This 2214-nucleotide long non-coding RNA is filed under the name Triticum aestivum (bread wheat). Its description in RNAcentral is "long non-coding RNA (TAES_LNC027209)". The record is from RNAcentral. Lineage: Eukaryota; Viridiplantae; Streptophyta; Magnoliopsida; Poales; Poaceae.
UUCAAAUAGUUAUUUUAUGGUCAAUAUUCAUGCUCACAUAUCCCGUACAUUAUAUAUUAGGUAUUCACCAACUCCAAGCUUACAAGAAUAACCUUCCAACAAAAUUUACAAAAAUGUUAAACGGGAAUUCAUUGCCGCCGCUGACCUGCACAAGCCGAUUGCACGUCCUGAGUCUACCCAUAUGCCGCACCUGCACCGCGAUGCCAAAGUCACAGAGUUGUUGUAACUACAACCAAUGUUUAUUAGAAGUACAUGCAAAGCUAACCCAAUAAAAAAGACAUACCAGAAAAUCCAACAAAGAAUCAAAACAUCCAACAAUUAAAGCACGUACCAUAAAUAUUAAUAGAUCUACACCAAUGUAUCUCCUUAAUUUAUAACCAUCCAAGACACCAGUAAUCUAAAUCCACUCAAAUCAAUCUUGAUUACUUAAGAUUUUCCUCUGCAUCGCUUACUUGGUUUUAGUUUUUUGUGCAACCUACAGUUACCUAUAUCUUACAAGUUAUACGACUGUUGUGUCCAUUUAUACAGUAAUUGAGAACCAAAUGAGUUCUAGAACAUUGGCGUUCAAACUGUACUUAACUUUUUGUGCCGAGAUGAAAAUGUUCAUGCUUACUACUUUAUUGUUGUCUGCUUCCUAGGUCCUAAACCUAAUUUUUUGCUAUUUGGUAUUCCUCUAUUAUAUAAAAAAGCCAGAAAAUUUUGCUCCAAAUAACCUGAAUUUAUUUUCUUGCUUGAUUUUGCAUUAGACUGAGUUAAGCGAAAGGGAUAGCAUCGUGAUGAGGAAGAAAAUGGACAAUGCUCAAGAUAAUUACUCCCAAAACUAAGCAUUGUUUAGAGCUGCACUUCUUAAAAGAAUUGUAGUUACUCUCAGCCACCUAGCGAUGCACAGUUCUUUGUGCAGUUGUCAAGUUCUUAACAGUGAGAUGUUACACCUAAUAUUUUAUCCCGGUGAAUAAGCCAUGCCAAAAAUGGAUACAUGGAUUACAAGUGUUGUGAAAGUCACGAGAGAAGAAUUUUAAGGUUAUCAAGAGGCAAGCCACUUACCUUUACUUCCACUUACCAAUAUUGUGCUUGUAGACCAUUGUACGUAAUAUUGAGGAUUGUCCAAUCAACUCGAGCCAGAGACGUAACAACCUACAGUAUUAACUCCGUCCAGCGACAACAACACCUCCAGCAGGUAUCAUCUUAUGCGCGACAUCAAGCCAUUUGCAUGAUUCACUGUAUGCCAGACUGAUGAAUAGAUAAACAAUACUUGAUCAAUAAAUCUUUCUAAAAUAGAAAAAGUCAAUCUGUACAUUGCAGAUUAAUUAACAUUACCACAGAACUAUCCCCAUGCUUAGUACAUACAUACAUGUAGGUUCUUUGCUAUAUUACUUACUUUAGAAACUAAAGUUUCUAUUUCAUUUUAUAUCAGAUUGAUGAACUGGCCAUUGACCAUUGAUCAAUGAUACUUUAAUUAUAUUCAACAAAGUGCUCAUUUAGAUAGACUGGACAAAGAUAGCCUAAACAAUCACUAUAUGUGCAUGCCGAAAUAAUAAAAGUAUAAUAUGACUGUUUCCUUGACAUACUUACAUUUCCCUUGAGCUAAUACUUACAUUUUCACGGUUUCCUUGGAAAACAAAAAAACUAAACAUUAAUAUAAUUUGUUUACCUAUUAUAUUAGUUACAUUAAUGAUUAACAUGACAAUUUCCUUUUUAGGGCCUCCAAUAGUAUGGUAUGUACACUGUUGAAUCCAUUGGCUAUAAGCAUUGGGACAAGAAAAAAUAAGCUCAAAGUUUAAGGCUCUGGGACACAAUCAACUUAUCUACCAAUGAACUUAUUAGCACUAAUAUGAUUUUAACACAUAAAUAUAUAGUUUGCUUUUUUUAAUUCCUUUUCAUCAUUCAAAGUUUGCUAAUAUUCCCUUUGUAUCUUGGGCAAUACGACCCGUGCUUCUAUUGGGAACAAACUGUUCAACAAGUUAGCCAAAAAUAAAGGGGACUCUACCUACAUAUUUAACACCUUUGAAGUUUUGGGAGUGUGAAUUGUUUUGACCAUUGAAGAACAAUCUAAAAAACAGUUUCCUUUUUUAUAUAACAGUGAAGAAAGUUGAGGAAAGAGUUUCAGAUUUUUUUCGGGCUAAACUUGAAAGUUGUUGAUGGAGAUACCUUAGAGAGUAGGGUAAAUAUUGGUAAAAGAGUGUUCAGGUAUGUAUAUUCAUGAAACGAAGUGGC